RNA transcript from Chenopodium quinoa (quinoa), 2805 nucleotides. It is a transcript of the gene named FBD-associated F-box protein At4g10400-like, with no coding region annotated. The transcript has 5 exons. Lineage: Eukaryota; Viridiplantae; Streptophyta; Magnoliopsida; Caryophyllales; Amaranthaceae. The record is from RefSeq and is a predicted model, not a curated record.
UGUUUAUCUGCAUCUAUAUACUCUGUAAUUUUUAAUCCUAUCUUUAAUUAUAACACUUGCAUUAGCACGUGCACAUUCUAGUUUAUCUAAAUUUAGGAGUGAGAAUAGGAAAGCAAGAGUGAAAAAAUAAAAGUGAGAAAAUAAGAGUGAACAUUAAUUACAUAACAGAAAAAGAAGGAUAAUUUGUGAUAUUUAGAAAAAAAAAUACUUACUAAUAAAUUUGAAAUACCCAAAAAAAAAAAGAAAAAAAGGGUAUUUUUAUACGUCAAAAUAAAAAGGAACCUCUGUCUGAGUUAAACAGUAGUACUUAUCUGGAAACUUUUAAUUUGCUUCUUCCCUUCAACUUCUUUAGCAGCAAUUCUCUCUGCAUUUUUUGAGAUUUCAACCUGAAAAAUGAUGAAUUAUUCCAUCUCAAUGAAGAAGCAAAAGGAGUGUGAUGAUUCUGAUGAAGAAGGAAAUUGCAAAAAAGAUAAGUUAAGUGAAUUACCAGAUGAAUUAAUUAUCCAAAUUCUUAUCUUUUUGCCAAUUAGAGAUGCUGUUAAAUCUGUCUUACUUCGUCGAUUCGGAAACUUAUGGACAUUAAUUCCUACCCUUAGGUUUGAUAAGAGCAAUAACGAAAUAUUUGUGUUCAAUGUUUUGAAAUUUCACAAAAACCCUAUCCUUGAUAAGUUUGAGUUGUUUUGUUUUGGUGCAAAUUUUUGUGAGUUGUUAAACUUGUACAAGUAUAAACUUUCCAAGCAAAAUUUGAUCAACUUGACAAAAAUUGCCUUAAAAAAAAACCCAAAAGUUGUAAGUGUUAAAAAUGAUGAUUUCCGGACUGGUCCUUAUUAUCUUCCAUCUGAUGCCUUCAGAAAUCGAUAUAUCAUUUCGCUUUAUCUUCAUAACAUUGAGAUUAAAUUCCCAGGUGAAGUUGAUAUGAGUUCAUUAAGGAAAUUGGAACUUGUUCAAGUGAUUAUGUAUGAUGAUACAUUCAGAGUUUUAACAAGUGGGUGUCCUAGAUUACAAGAAUUGGUGAUAAAGUAUUCUCACAAAUUGACUAAGUUGCACUUUACUGCUCCUAACAUUGAAAAAUUGGAGCUUUAUUUUGAUCAUAGUGUAACAUUAAUAGAGGACCAAUCUUACUCAUUGAAUUGCCCCAAUCUCAAGAUCUUGCAUGUUAAAGGAAUAUGUUUGGGAUGUCUACAAGUGAUUAAUGUUUCAUCUGUUCAAGAAGCCAAAAUCAAUCGAUGUACUGAGUGGCCUGGGUGUGAACCGUGUGAUGAAACGAAUGAUAUGGCUCAGGGCGAAUUUGACAAUUUACUCAACAAGCUUCAACAUGUUGAGUUUUUAGAAUUGGAUGAUGGAAAGGGAGCUUACAUUGUGAAUUUUUGCUUCUUUAUUCUAGCUUUUAUUGAAAAAAGAUGCACCCUUCUCUUGUUUUGGUUUAUCUUUGAUUACCAUUAUUACUCCAUAGUAUGAAUUACUCCCUCUUCUUUUAUACUAUUCACUUGCACCAUUUUGACUGAUAUUCGUGCUUCAUAAGAGUUAACAUAGUCAUGUUGCUACAUAUACAUAAUCUGCUUGUACUAUGAUGAUACCUAUGAUGUAAUUAUUCGGUCUCUUGUGUAGCUAAACUGUUUGUCAUUUUUGCAAUUUAUGCACAUUGCACAUAGCUUAGUAAGAAGUUGGAUAAAUUUAAUUGGAUUUAUAUUUGGUAUUGUAAUGUGACAUCUUCAUAUGGUAGAUAGUAUGGUACUGAUGCAUUUAUGUUAGGAAGUUUCAUUUAAUAUCACAUUGGCUGAAUUGCUUAUGUUUUGUAUCAAAAGAAGUUUGCUUUAAAAUGUAUUUUAGAUUAGAGAUAGUACCGAAUUGAAAUCCUCUCCUAUAUAUUCGUGUAUGAAUUACAAUCAUUAUGCUUUGUUGUGGGAUACAAAUUGCUACUUGACCCUAAACGUUAGGGCCGGGCAGGAUUAAAAUUGUUUCUAUAUGUUAGCUUAGGACAGGAGUAUGAAACAUAAUGCUCAUUUCCUUGCAUGUUGUUUUUAUUUAUGGGUGAUCAUUGCUUGGUAAAGCACGCACUAUAACUACUUGUAUAAGACAAUUAUUGGGAUAAAACUAAUGUUGUGUUUCACUCUGUAUCAGCAAUUAAAACCCUGUGGAGAAUAUGGAAAUGAGAAACUGAUUUUUCGAGCACCUGAAAUUUAUUUACUUCUCAAGCCAGGAAUCUAUGGAAGCUGUCUGGUAGACAUUAUCAGGUUGCUAAAAAGCUCAUCGAUCUUGAUGUUAGUUACAUUAUAUGCUGAUGUGGAUUUGUUCUGUGAUUGCAAUAUGCUCAUGCAUGAGCUAUCUUCUCCUUGUGUGCUGGGAAACCUUAGAUCUUUUAUCAUCCGUGAAUACAAGAAGCCAUGUGAAGCCUUCAGUCAGCUGAUAGCAUUUGUGCUUAAAAGUGCAGUCAUAUUGGAAGAAGUGUCUAUUGAAAUCAAUGGAAAGGAUGAGCUGUUUUCAGCAGAGAGCCAAGAAUUCAUUCUGCAGCUGUUAAGCUUCCCAAGGGCAUCACCGAAAGCCAAAGUUGAAAUUCAAGUUAAGUAAUUAUGACUUCAGCAUUGACUGAGAGAAGGAUGUUCCAUCUCUUCCCGCCUGAUGAACUGUUUGAUGCUUACAGUCUGGAAAUUCCGAGCAACAACACGGCAAUUAAGACAAUGUGGAAAUUCGAAACUGGAUUUGGAAGAUAAUAACAAAUGGGUUCGUUUAUCUCUGAGACCAAGAGUCCAUGGAAGCUGCUUACGAAACAUUAUUUGUAAGCUGCUAAAGGCGUCGCAAUGCUUG